AUACUGCCGCCCGCCCUGGGUGCCCAGCAGCGCGAUGCGCUUGGCUGGGGUAAACGGGAAGUCCGGUGGAGGUUUCAGGUAUUUUCCUGAGGUCGAUUCCGGCGCUGCCCCCGCAACGGUGAUUCAGAUUAUCUGAUCAGCCCGAUACCGGCCCUCGGCAUACACAGGAU
Molecule: non-coding RNA, 170 nt
Filed under: Microbulbifer thermotolerans
Lineage: Bacteria; Pseudomonadati; Pseudomonadota; Gammaproteobacteria; Cellvibrionales; Microbulbiferaceae
Source: RNAcentral